AUACGUAGGGAGCGAGCGUUGUCCGGAAUUACUGGGCGUAAAGGGCGCGUAGGCGGCGCUUCAAGUCGUCUGUCAAAUGGAAGGGCUUAACCCUUUUUCGCAGACGAAACUGGAGAGCUUGAGAAGCAGAGAGGCAAACAGAAUUCCUGGUGUAGCGGUGAAAUGCGUAGAUAUCGGGAGGAACACCAGUGGCGAAGGCGACUUCCUGGCACAAUACUGACGCUCAUGUGCGAAAGCUAGGGUAGCGAACGGGAUUAGAUACCCCGGUAGUCCUAGCCGUAAACGAUGGUUACUAGGUGUGGGUGUCGCAGGGCAUCCGUGCCGCAGCUAACGCGUUAAGUAUCCCGCCUGGGGACUACGGUCGCAAGACUAAAACUCAAAUGAAUUGACGGGG
This 394-nucleotide ribosomal RNA is filed under the name uncultured bacterium. RNAcentral describes it as "partial 16S ribosomal RNA". It matches the Rfam family "Bacterial small subunit ribosomal RNA", at positions 523 to 918 of the family's 1533-position model. The record is from RNAcentral.